CUCAUUGAACUCGCCUGCAGCUCUUGGGUUUUUUGUGGCUUCCUUCGUUAUUGGAGCCAGGCCUACACCCCAGGUUUAUGAAGGCGAGCGUGCCAUGACAAAGGAUAACAACCUGCUUGGCAAGUUUGAACUCACAGGCAUGCCAGGAGGAAUGCCUGGGGGAUUUCCUGGUGGUGGAGCUCCUCCCUCUGGUGGUGCUUCCUCAGGGCCCACCAUUGAAGAGGUUGAUUAAGCCAACCAAGUGUAGAUGUAGCAUUGUUCCACACAUUUAAAACAUUUGAAGGACCUAAAUUCGUAGCAAAUUCUGUGGCAGUUUUAAAAAGUUAAGCUGCUAUAGUAAGUUACUGGGCAUUCUCAAUACUUGAAUAUGGAACAUAUGCACAGGGGAAGGAAAUAACAUUGCACUUUAUAAACACUGUAUUGUAAGUGGAAAAUGCAAUGUCUUAAAUAAAACUAUUUAAAAUUGGCACCAU
This 473-nucleotide long non-coding RNA is filed under the name Homo sapiens (human). RNAcentral's name for it is "non-protein coding lnc-CLMP-3:2". Lineage: Eukaryota; Metazoa; Chordata; Mammalia; Primates; Hominidae. The record is from RNAcentral.